RNAcentral lists this non-coding RNA (24 nucleotides) under Arabidopsis thaliana (thale cress). The record is from RNAcentral. Lineage: Eukaryota; Viridiplantae; Streptophyta; Magnoliopsida; Brassicales; Brassicaceae.
AGGACAUCCAACCAUGUGUGCUGG